AUGUACUUAGCCAGUGCUACAAGACCUGACAUCUCUUUUGCUAUUAGCAAAGUGAGUCGGUUUGUCUCAAAACUAGGAGAUGUGCAUUGGAAAGCUUUAGAGAGAGUUUUGCGUUAUUUGAAAGGCACUGUGAAUUAUGGAAUUCACUACACUAGGCACCCAAAGGUGAUUGAAGGUUAUAGUGACUCAAACUGGAUCUCAGAUGCUGAUGAGAUAAAGGCCACGAGCGGAUAUGUGUGA
This 240-nucleotide ribosomal RNA is filed under the name Triticum aestivum (bread wheat). Its description in RNAcentral is "partial small subunit ribosomal RNA". The record is from RNAcentral. Lineage: Eukaryota; Viridiplantae; Streptophyta; Magnoliopsida; Poales; Poaceae.